AACACGUGUGCCUGCAGAUAAGGGGGCUGUGACGCUGACUCACCCAGGAGGACCCAAAGCCUUUAGCUCUGCAUCUCUGUUCCUCCUUCACUGGGGUUUCUCUGCCCUGAAGGCUUGGUUUUGACAGCUGAUGGAGUUGGUGAAGAAGGAGUUUCCUGGCAUCUUUUCACACUUCAGAAAACUGCAGCACAUGUAUCAAUACAGCUUACCUUAAACAGGAGAAGUGGUGCUGGUGCAGAAGCUGGAGACAAGCCAUGGCAGGCCAGUUUCCAAGAACUGGCUGCAUUGUUCAUGAGGACCUUGGAAGAGCAGCUGUGCAAGAGUUAUCCUACUUUGUGUAGCAAGCACAUGGGAGACAGCCCCAACAGCUUCACUACCAACCAGUUCCCUAUAAAGUAACA
Molecule: long non-coding RNA, 401 nt
Organism: Onychostruthus taczanowskii (white-rumped snowfinch)
Lineage: Eukaryota; Metazoa; Chordata; Aves; Passeriformes; Passeridae
Exons: 3
Source: RefSeq, a predicted model, not a curated record